GCGGACGUGGUGGAAUUGGUAGACACACUGGAUUUAGGUUCCAGCGCCGCAAGGUGUAAGAGUUCGAGUCUCUUCGUCCGCACCA
RNAcentral lists this transfer RNA (85 nucleotides) under Pseudomonas fluorescens. RNAcentral describes it as "tRNA-Leu". It matches the Rfam family "tRNA". From Rfam's summary of the family: Transfer RNA (tRNA) molecules are approximately 80 nucleotides in length. The record is from RNAcentral. RNAcentral also lists the same sequence under 200 other names. Lineage: Bacteria; Pseudomonadati; Pseudomonadota; Gammaproteobacteria; Pseudomonadales; Pseudomonadaceae.